This is a non-coding RNA of Acanthosepion pharaonis, 111 nucleotides long. The record is from the annotation of a GenBank genome assembly. NCBI's taxonomy places the organism in Eukaryota, Metazoa, Mollusca, Cephalopoda, Sepiida, Sepiidae.
CGGUCAAAUCACGCUGAAACACCGGUUCUCGUUCGAUCACCGAAGUUAAGCAUCGUAGAGCCAGGUCAGUACUUAGAUGGGGGACCGCUUGGGAACACCUGGUACUGUAAG